Molecule: long non-coding RNA, 386 nt
Filed under: Panax ginseng (ginseng)
Lineage: Eukaryota; Viridiplantae; Streptophyta; Magnoliopsida; Apiales; Araliaceae
Description: long non-coding RNA (PGIN_LNC018526)
Source: RNAcentral
UGCAAAACAACCACACACUAUGCAUUAAUCAUUGCUUCUUCUGACGCAGUAAGAGCCAAAAUAAUUCGUUCCAACAUUUUAUCAAGCAGUUGGGAUGCAACUCCAAACAAUCUAAUCAAAAUAGUUAAAAUAAUAAAAUGAUCUCUUGCUCUAUAAAUGAUAGUGGGUGCGAACUAUGGUCAACGAAUAUGCAGAAACUGGUGUAGCAUGGAACCUCACGGUUUUGUCUGGCCUCACCAUCUCUUGCUCUGUCUUUCUGGUCCUUCUAGACUGAAGGAAUGUGAAUGUAAAAAUGAUAUGGAACUCAGUUAGGCGACGUGAAGUGGCAGGAUGUACGAUUGGAUCAAAUUACUAUGAAAAACUCUAUGCGGACGAGUCAAAAUACG